UGCUUGGGAAUAUGCCUUGAGGUGGGGGACAACAGUUGGAAACGACCGCUAAUACCGCAUAAUGUCUACGGACCAAAGGAGGGGAUCUUCGGACCUUUCGCCUUUAGAUUAGCCCAAGUGAGAUUAGCUAGAUGGUGGGGUAAUGGCCUACCAUGGCGACGAUCUCUAGCUGGUUUGAGAGGAUGAUCAGCCACACUGGGACUGAGACACGGCCCAGACUCCUACGGGAGGCAGCAGUGGGGAAUAUUGCACAAUGGGCGAAAGCCUGAUGCAGCCAUGCCGCGUGUGUGAAGAAGGCCU
Molecule: ribosomal RNA, 300 nt
Filed under: uncultured Colwelliaceae bacterium
Lineage: Bacteria; Pseudomonadati; Pseudomonadota; Gammaproteobacteria; Alteromonadales; Colwelliaceae
Description: bacterial SSU rRNA
Rfam family: Bacterial small subunit ribosomal RNA
Source: RNAcentral